UAGUUCGUGGUGGUUUGGACUUUGAGACAGCAGUGUUUUGAGCAGUGGCGGCAGCGAGGGUUUGGAGUCGGAUCUUCUUCGGAAGCCGGUGUAUGUGACCGCGGGAACUCCGGAGUACGCUUGGUCUUGACGGCGACGGGUGAAGGAACGAGCUUGGACACCUCCGUUUCGUGUAGCUGCGGUUAUAAUUCUCCUCUUUUAACAUUUAAUACUCAUUUCUGUUGAAAUAAAAACGGAGAAAAAGUGUAUUUGGAUGUUAAAGGUGAAAUAUAUGGACGACAUCGCAAUGGUAUGCCUAAGAGAUGUUGUUUUGCUUGCAAAACUUUUCCAGGUUAUGAGAUGAGUGAUAGGUUUGUGGCAAGACUGAUUAUGGAUUUGGGGUGAUAUAUGAGAACGAGAGUUUUCAGACACUUAAA
Molecule: long non-coding RNA, 416 nt
Filed under: Brassica napus (rape)
Lineage: Eukaryota; Viridiplantae; Streptophyta; Magnoliopsida; Brassicales; Brassicaceae
Description: long non-coding RNA (BNAP_LNC022406)
Source: RNAcentral